AUUGAACGCUGGCGGAAUGCUUUACACAUGCAAGUCGAACGGCAGCACGGACUUCGGUCUGGUGGCGAGUGGCGAACGGGUGAGUAAUAUAUCGGAACGUGCCCAGUCGUGGGGGAUAACGUAGUGAAAAUUACGCUAAUACCGCAUACGAUCUAUGGAUGAAAGCGGGGGAUCGCAAGACCUCGCGCGAUUGGAGCGGCCGAUAUCAAAUUAGGUAGUUGGUGAGGUAAAGGCUCACCAAGCCGACGAUCUGUAGCUGGUCUGAGAGGACGACCAGCCACACUGGAACUGAGACACGGUCCAGACUCCUACGGGAGGCAGCAGUGGGGAAUUUUGGACAAUGGACGCAAGUCUGAUCCAGCCAUUCCGCGUGCAGGACGAAGGCCUUCGGGUCGUAAACUGCUUUUGUACAGAACGAAAAGGUCUCUAUUAAUACUAGGGGCUCAUGACGGUACUGUAAGAAUAAGCACCGGCUAACUACGUGCCAGCCGCCGCGGUAA
Molecule: ribosomal RNA, 500 nt
Filed under: uncultured bacterium
Lineage: Bacteria
Description: partial 16S ribosomal RNA
Rfam family: Bacterial small subunit ribosomal RNA
Source: RNAcentral